RNAcentral lists this unclassified non-coding RNA (251 nucleotides) under fungal sp. Its description in RNAcentral is "partial internal transcribed spacer region". The stretch from base 1 to 46 matches the Rfam family "Eukaryotic small subunit ribosomal RNA", at positions 1786 to 1831 of the family's 1831-position model. Lineage: Eukaryota; Fungi. The record is from RNAcentral.
AAGUCGUAACAAGGUUUCCGUAGGUGAACCUGCGGAAGGAUCAUUAACACAAAACCAAGAAGAGACCAUAGAAAUAUGUGUCUCAUCAUCCCGGAGUAAAUAUCUAGGGGCAUUCGUGGCCUUUUCAUUCCAUUUUCUGAUCGAUUUAUACCUGCACUGAUACCCAUAUGCACACGAAAGUGUGUGUAUGUUUAUUGACCUCGUGUCAAUAAAACCAUAUACAACUCGUAACAACGGAUCUCUCGGCUAAU